UACGAAGGGGGCUAGCGUUGCUCGGAAUCACUGGGCGUAAAGGGUGCGUAGGCGGAUCGUUAAGUCGGGGGUGAAAGUUUUCGGCCCAACCGGAAAUUGCCUUUGAUACUGGCGAACUCGAGUGCGUGAGGGGUAACCGGAACGAGCAGUGGUAGCGGUGAAAUGCGUAGAUAUUGCUCGGAAGGCCAACGGCGAAGGCAGGUUACUGGUACGCAACUGACGCUGAGGCACGAAAGCGUGGGGAGCAAACAGG
RNAcentral lists this ribosomal RNA (253 nucleotides) under uncultured bacterium. RNAcentral describes it as "partial 16S ribosomal RNA". It matches the Rfam family "Bacterial small subunit ribosomal RNA", at positions 524 to 776 of the family's 1533-position model. The record is from RNAcentral.